Molecule: transfer RNA, 91 nt
Filed under: Kineosporia sp. NBRC 101731
Lineage: Bacteria; Bacillati; Actinomycetota; Actinomycetes; Kineosporiales; Kineosporiaceae
Description: tRNA-Val
Source: RNAcentral
GUUGCCCGGUGCCGCCGCGGCGGCGGCCUCACGGGCCGCCCGCCGGCCCCGGCGACUACCUGGGUCGGCGUCCUGCGCGCUGCGGGCGGCG